GGCAGAUUUCGGAUUGCAAGGGGAAUACAGCUGAGAGGCCAUACUGGCACCUAGGCACAGUGAGAUGCAGAAACUGACAGAUUCAAGUGCCAGCAGGAGCCAAAACAAGAAUCUUCCAUUUCCCAGUGUCCAGCUCCUGGAACAGCACACUGUACAGGGAUUCAUGCAGGUUGAGGGAGCUCUAGUGGGUGGGGAGUCAGAACUCCAGAGCUUCAUACCCAUGGAGCUCCAGCUGGUAGGCGGCCAUGUCGGCCACGGCUUGGGCAUCAGCAGCUGAACCAGAGAGUGCACAGUAGAUGCGCUGGUGCAAGGGGGACAGCUU
Molecule: long non-coding RNA, 322 nt
Organism: Pongo pygmaeus (Bornean orangutan)
Lineage: Eukaryota; Metazoa; Chordata; Mammalia; Primates; Hominidae
Exons: 2
Source: RefSeq, a predicted model, not a curated record